Molecule: long non-coding RNA, 949 nt
Filed under: Cucumis sativus (cucumber)
Lineage: Eukaryota; Viridiplantae; Streptophyta; Magnoliopsida; Cucurbitales; Cucurbitaceae
Description: long non-coding RNA (CSAT_LNC001845)
Source: RNAcentral
AUAAUCUCUUAUUUAUAGAGGGUUGAACCCUUGGCUUACCAGUCUAAAAGGGACUCGGAGAUGAUGAUUUGAACUUAUCAGAGUCUUAGAGCAUGGACUUUCGUGCAAGGGAAGUGGAUGGCCUGGUCGAGGUGGGUCUCUUAGAUUGUGGACCUAUAACUCUCCUUUUCUGUUUCUUGGCAUGUUUCUUGCAUUUCAUUGACCUUUAGGUGACUCUUGCUUUGUUGCUAUUGAAAUAUGAUAAACACACCAGGUUUAAAGAAAUGCAAGUAACAAGGAAAGGAAAGACCAUUAGAAUGAGAGUUAUUAGGGUGAGUGGCCCAAUUGGCCCAGCUUAUCAAGUCAAAAAGGCGAAGGCUAUCCACUUCCUUUCACAGAGGUUCACUUCUUGUGGGUCAUGAUCUAAUUUGCAAUUGGCUUUAAUAAGCAUCUCUCGGUCCUUUUUGGAUCAGGAACUCUAGGGUCCUCCUAUAUAAAUAAGAGAUCAUAACUUCAUGUUAGAAAGAUCAAUGCAACUAUGUAUGUAUCAUGCACCAUGGAAAUUUUAUGCAAUCUGAUAACUCAAGAAUUUAUUAUUUUAGUUCCAAGUAUGCAACUUAGUCUAGGCGAUGAGAUUACACUAUGCAAUAAAAGAUGUAAUUGGAUAAUUUUUAUCUCGUUGCUUAAACUUUUAGAUGUCUACUUAGUACAAAUUUUCCUCCAUCUCGUUUAAGUAUAAACGGAGUAAGUUACGGUUUAUUUGAUGAUAAAUGAAUUAGAACACCUUAUCUUCUAUCUUUUGUGGUCUCUAUAAUUGUAUAAAUUAUAUUCUCAAUAUUUCUUAUCUAAACUGAAUAUAUUAUCUACAUUGUGGGUGGAAUGUAAUGAAUGAUAUAGAGACGGAUGAGUACGAAUGAUGAUGUUGAACUAACUCUAACUUAACACAAACAAAGGAAAGUGUGAAGGAAAG